CAGUAGCCGCGGUAAUACGUAGGUGGCAAGCGUUGUCCGGAAUUAUUGGGCGCAAAGGGCUCGCAGGCGGUUUCUUAAGUCUGAUGUGAAAGCCCCCGGCUCAACCGGGGAGGGUCAUUGGAAACUGGGAAACUUGAGUGCAGAAGAGGAGAGUGGAAUUCCACGUGUAGCGGUGAAAUGCGUAGAGAUGUGGAGGAACACCAGUGGCGAAGGCGACUCUCUGGUCUGUAACUGACGCUGAGGAGCGAAAGCGUGGGGAGCGAACAGGAUUAGAUACCCGCGUAGUCCCUGUCUCUUAUAC
This 301-nucleotide ribosomal RNA is filed under the name uncultured bacterium. RNAcentral's name for it is "partial 16S ribosomal RNA". It matches the Rfam family "Bacterial small subunit ribosomal RNA", at positions 509 to 807 of the family's 1533-position model. The record is from RNAcentral.